UACAAUUAAUUUUAUUUUAACCAUAAACCAUUAUCCACCACAACAAAGAUAGAAAUAAACUCUUUGAGCCGAAUGAGAGGGAGGAGUCAAAGAAACCUCGUCAAGCAGACACUAGUGUAGAUCAAGUGCUCUUGCUCAGUACAGUAUUUAAAGUCAUUGAAUCACAGACUAGAUCAGGGUGAGAAUAAGAUCUGGAUUUAGACGAGACUUCAUUAAAAUCAGGAAAGAUGGCACACUGGAUUCAAAAAACUAUCAUUGUUCUCAUAUAUGUCUGGGGAAUAGAGUCGCAGGACAAUGUUGAGCAGAAAACACUAGUUCAGACUGCUUCUGAAAGUGGAGCUGUAAUAAUCAACUGUACAUAUCAAACCCAGUUCUCCCCGACUCUCUUUUGGUACCAGCAAAAAGUAAACGGAGUUCCUAAAUAUAUGCUGAACAGAGUUGGUCAAACUGGAGAUGAAGACAAAGAGUUCAAAGACAGAUUUAAUGCACAUAUCAACACAUCUUCAAAAUCAUUUCCUCUGAUAAUCAAGGACCUGCGUGUGUCUGACUCUGCUGUGUACUACUGUGCUCUGAACCCCACUGUGACUCAAACACACUCAACACUCACACAAAAACCUUCAUAUAUAAAUAUAUUGGCAUCGUGCAGUAGCUGUAGGGAGCCAGUAGAGGGAGAUCAGUGUCAUUUGUUGAUAUGUGGGUGCUGAGAUCUCACUCUCUGUCAGGAACUUGUUAUAAAAUCCACACAAACUUCCUCUGACUUAUUAAGAUCUAAAAGGUAUAAAUAAAUGCAUGUGUCCCACUCAAAGAUUUUUAGUUAUUCAUCAGAAUCUUUAAACAGCGUUCAUGAGUUCAUUUGCCCAUCUAGCUGAAAUAAAGGUGAACAGUUAUACGGCUGCCGGCUGGUGUGAUGAUUGACAUCUUACAUUGUCUGUCGCCUGUCAUCAUCUUUGGACUUUCAUAUGGCAGCCUUUUCAAAAUCAGCCCAGUGAUACAAAACAUGAAACAAGUCUUACAAAAACUAAAGGAUUUUAAAAAAGAAAAAAGAAAAAAGAAAAAAGAAAGAAAAAAGAUAAAACUGCAAACGUCUAUGUGAGGUUGGGGGAAGAAGUGAAUAAAAGGGCAAACAAAGUGUAACACGGUUAGUAGAUACGGGAAGAAGGAG
Non-coding RNA from Megalobrama amblycephala (Wuchang bream), 1162 nucleotides. NCBI's taxonomy places the organism in Eukaryota, Metazoa, Chordata, Actinopteri, Cypriniformes, Xenocyprididae. The record is from the annotation of a RefSeq genome assembly.